This 1850-nucleotide small RNA is filed under the name Pan troglodytes (chimpanzee). RNAcentral's name for it is "processed transcript". Lineage: Eukaryota; Metazoa; Chordata; Mammalia; Primates; Hominidae. The record is from RNAcentral.
AGAGCCGGGUUCCUCCCGGGUUUCUGCCGGGUUUCUCCCUGCGGUUCCUGGGCUGUUGAGACUCUUGUGAAGAUGGCUUGCGCUGCCGCGCGGUCCCCUGCCGACCAGGACAGGUUUAUUUGUAUCUAUCCUGCUUAUUUAAAUAAUAAGAAGACCAUCGCAGAGGGAAGGCGAAUCCCCAUAAGUAAGGCUGUUGAAAAUCCUACAGCUACAGAGAUUCAAGAUGUAUGUUCAGCAGUUGGACUUAACGUAUUUCUUGAGAAAAAUAAAAUGUACUCUAGAGAAUGGAAUCGUGAUGUCCAAUACAGAGGCAGAGUCCGGGUCCAGCUCAAACAGGAAGAUGGGAGCCUCUGCCUUGUACAGUUCCCAUCACGUUAAGAAUGUCUGAGGGGCCAGGCGGUGCUGGCAAGAUGGCUGCACUUGAGAAGAUGACGUUUCCCAAGAAGAUGACAUUUCCAGAGAAACCAAGCCACAAAAAGUACAGGGCCGCCCUGAAGAAGGAGAAACGAAAGAAACGUCGGCAGGAACUUGCUCGACUGAGAGACUCAGGACUCUCACAGGAGGAGGAAGAGGACACUUUUAUUGAAGAACAACAACUAGAAGAAGAGAAGCUAUUGGAAAGAGAGAGGGAAAGAUUACAUGAGGAGUGGUUGCUGAGAGAGCAGAAGGCACAAGAAGAAUUCAGAAUAAAGAAGGAAAAGGAAGAGGUGGCUAAAAAAUGGCAAGAAGAACAAGAGAGAAAGUUAAAGGAACAAUGGAAAGAACAGCAGAGGAAAGAGAGAGAAGAGGAGGAGCAGAAACAACAGGAGAAGAAAGAAAAAGAGGAAGCUGUGCAGAAGAUGCUGGAUCAGGCUGAAAAUGAUUUAGAAAAUGGUACCACAUGGCAAAACCCAGAACCACCCGUGGAUUUCAGAGUAAUGGAGAAGGAUCGAGCUAAUUGUCCCUUCUACAGUAAAACAGGAGCUUGCAGAUUUGGAGACAGAUGUUCACGUAAACAUAAUUUCCCAACAUCCAGUCCUACCCUUCUUAUUAAGAGCAUGUUUACAACGUUUGGAAUGGAGCAGUGCAGGAGGGAUGACUAUGACCCUGACGCAAGCCUGGAGUUCAGCGAGGAAGAAACCUACCAACAGUUCCUAGAUUUCUAUGAGGAUGUGUUGCCCGAGUUCAAGAACGUGGGGAAAGUGAUUCAGUUCAAGGUCAGCUGCAAUUUGGAACCUCACCUGAGGGGCAAUGUAUAUGUUCAGUACCAGUCGGAAGAAGAAUGCCAAGCAGCCCUUUCUCUGUUUAACGGACGAUGGUAUGCAGGACGACAGCUGCAAUGUGAAUUCUGCCCAGUGACGCGGUGGAAAAUGGCGAUUUGUGGUUUAUUUGAAAUACAACAAUGUCCAAGAGGAAAACACUGCAACUUUCUUCAUGUGUUCAGAAAUCCCAACAAUGAAUUCUGGGAAGCUAAUAGAGACAUCUACUUGUCUCCAGAUCAGACUGGCUCCUCCUUUGGCAAGAACUCCGAGAGGAGGGAGAAGAUGGGCCACCACGACCACUACUACAGCAGGCAGCGGGGAAGGAGAAACCCUAGUCCAGACCACACCUACAAAAGAAAUGGGGAAUCCGAGAGAAAAAAGAGUAGUCAUAGGGGGAAGAAAUCUCACAAACGCACAUCAAAGAGUCGGGAGAGGCACAAUUCACCAAGCAGAGGAAGAAAUAGGCACCGCAGCUGGGACCAGGGCCGCCGGAGCCAGAGCCGCAGGAGCCACCGCAGCCGGAGCCAAAGUUCCUCUAGGUGCCGAAGUCGUGGCAGGAGGAGGUCGGGUAAUAGAGACAGAACUGUUCAGAGUCCCAAAUCCAAAUAA